This 403-nucleotide ribosomal RNA is filed under the name uncultured bacterium. RNAcentral describes it as "bacterial SSU rRNA". It matches the Rfam family "Bacterial small subunit ribosomal RNA", at positions 356 to 776 of the family's 1533-position model. The record is from RNAcentral.
AGGGAAUAUUGGACAAUGGGGGAAACCCUGAUCCAGCAAUGCCGCGUGAGUGAAGAAGGCCUUCGGGUUGUAAAACUCUUUCAUCAAUGAUGAUAAUGACAUUAGUUGAAGAAGAAGCUCCGGCUAACUUCGUGCCAGCAGCCGCGGUAAUACGAAGGGGGCUAGCGUUGUUCGGAAUCACUGGGCGUAAAGCGUAUGUAGGCGGAUCAAAAAGUUAGAUGUGAAAUCCCUGGGCUCAACCCAGGAACUGCAUUUAAAACUAGUGAUCUAGAAUUUGGUAAGGGUUAGUAGAAUUUCCAGUGUAGAGGUGAAAUUCGUAGAUAUUGGAAAGAAUACCAGAAGCGAAGGCGACUAACUAGGCCAUUUUUGACGCUGAGAUACGAAAGCGUGGGUAGCAAACAGG